Molecule: ribosomal RNA, 862 nt
Filed under: uncultured Chloroflexota bacterium
Lineage: Bacteria; Bacillati; Chloroflexota
Description: bacterial SSU rRNA
Rfam family: Bacterial small subunit ribosomal RNA
Source: RNAcentral
GGUGUGGCGGGUGCAUAUACAUGUAGUCGACGGAGGUCGUAGCGAUAUGAUCUUAGUGGCGAACGGGUGAGUAACGCGUUGGUGACCUGCCCCGAAGAUUGGGAUAGCAGCUCGAAAGGGCUGAUAAUACCGGAUAAUGUCUCCCGGGUUAGAGGCUGGGAGAAGAAAGCAGCGAUGCGCUUUGGGAGGGACCUGCGUCCCAUCAGCUAGUUGGUGAGGUAGAAGCUCACCAAGGCGACGACGGGUAGGGGGCCUGAGAGGGUGGCCCCCCACACUGGCACUGAAACACGGGCCAGACACCUACGGGUGGCAGCAGUAGGGAAUAUUGCACAAUGGGCGAAAGCCUGAUGCAGCAACGCCGCGUGCGCGAAGAAGGCCUUCGGGUCGUAAAGCGCUUUUCUGGGAGAAGAGGAAGGACGGUAUCUCAGGAAGAAGGAUCGGCUAACUACGUGCCAGCAGCCGCGGUAAAACGUAGGAUCCGAGCGUUAUCCGAAUUCACUGGGCGUAAAGAGCGAGCAGGCGGUCGAUCAAGUUGGAUGUGAAAUCUCCCGGCUCAACUGGGAGAGGCCGUUCAAAACUGGUUGACUAGAGGGCAGUAGAGGGAGGUGGAAUUCCCGGUGUAGUGGUGAAAUGCGUAGAUAUCGGGAGGAACACCAGUGGCGAAAGCGGCCUCCUGGGCUGUACCUGACGCUGAGAUGCGAAAGCUAGGGGAGCGAACGGGAUUAGAAACCCCGGUAGUCCUAGCCGUAAACGAUGUAGACUGGGUGUUGGAGGGAUAAAAUCCACCAGUGCCGAAGCUAACGCGAUAAGUCUACCGCCUGAGGACUACGGCCGCAAGGUUAAAACUCAAAGGAAUUGACGG